This 241-nucleotide long non-coding RNA is filed under the name Elaeis guineensis (African oil palm). Its description in RNAcentral is "long non-coding RNA (EGUI_LNC075000)". Lineage: Eukaryota; Viridiplantae; Streptophyta; Magnoliopsida; Arecales; Arecaceae. The record is from RNAcentral.
GACAAUCCAAACAAACUGUAUCAAAAGCAAAAGGGCAACCUCAUAAAGUCGAAGGCCCAGUUCCACUUAGACCGGAUGGAGGGAGAGGCCUUACAACGCCCAUAUGUGCCCCCACAGCCCUGUUAGGGACAGGAGGAGAACCUGCCCUAACUUGAGCAAAGUCGAAGGCCCGGUUCCACUUAGAUCGGAUGGGGGGAGAGGCCUUACAACGCCCAUAUGUGCCCCCACAGCCCUGUUAGGG